Molecule: ribosomal RNA, 253 nt
Filed under: uncultured bacterium
Lineage: Bacteria
Description: partial 16S ribosomal RNA
Rfam family: Bacterial small subunit ribosomal RNA
Source: RNAcentral
UACGUAGGGGCCGAGCGUUGUCCGGAGUUAUUGGGCGUAAAGCGCGCGCAGGCGGCUUGGCGCGCCCGACGUGAAAGCCCCCGGCUUAACCGGGGAGGGUCGUCGGGUACGGCCAGGCUUGAGGGCGGGAGAGGGUGGUGGAAUUCCCGGUGUAGUGGUGAAAUGCGUAGAGAUCGGGAGGAACACCAGUGGCGAAGGCGGCUCACUGGCCCGGUACUGACGCUGAGGUGCGAAAGCGUGGGGAGCAAACAGG